UGAGACAGUGUCCAAAAAUGAAGAUCUUCUCUCAAGGAGUCUUAGACACACCAAUGCUAAACAAAGUGAACGUCACCGAAGAAGAAAAAGAUGAUGAUGAAGGAUGUGGGGAAGGCAACCUCAAUGACACCAUAAAAAAAUUGUUCAAUGAAAUGGUGAGUAUCAAUUAAGUUUUGGUGCUAUUUAGAUAAAAUAAGAAGAGCUUACUAGGUGCAUUUGAUCAACAAUCCAAUCCUCAACGAUGGAAUCGAUGCCAUCAAAUAAACAUGACUUAAUCUUGAAACCACAAACUGCACUAAGCAUAGCACCAAAGCCAGAGCGUGACUAUAAAGAAGAAGAAAAAAGAAGGCAAAGAAGAAUUAAAUUAACAUGAAAUUCAACUGGAACAAUACAAAAUAUGAAAUUUUUAGCAAUCUUACGAGCAUUAUACACAAAUCUCAAUUCACGACAAAUAGGGGAAUGAAUCACUAACAUCACCCAAUUCGUAUAUUCAAAUAAUGUAUCCCCACUCCUAACAAGCAACGUGCUACCACAGUCGAUUAGUUGUUAGGGUUAAGGCUUACCAUAGAGAACUGGAUGGCGCUAACUAAAUGACAAGUUGAAACGGCAUCUGCAAUCGUAUUGAAUGACAUUGAACCGCGAGGUAGGGUUUAAAUGAAUACCGGGCAGAGAUAAAUUGGUGUGGUGAAUUAGGGUUUUGUGGCUACGUUUUAUUUCGAUUGAAAAAAGGAAUUUGAGCCAGGCUUUAAUAUGUAAAUUUUCGCUUAGUUGAAACAGAGGAAAGCUUUUGGGUUAUUAAAGUGAAAGAUAUGGAAUAAUACAAAAAAUUAUUGAAGUGAAAGAACAGGAAUACAAAAAAUCAGCAGAUGAGAUCGUUGAAAGAUGCGGACUGCUGUACGGCCAAGGCGGAUGUACGGUACAGCAGUGAUGGUCAUUUUGAAUCGACCGUUGAUUAAAAAAAUUCCUCAAAUAUUCACUCUAUAACAGUCCCAUGUUGAUGGCGUUGGGAAGUGUUUUCCAGAAAUGUUUUCCAUUUUUAAAAGCAUGAAUAUCGGGAAAAAAAAAUGGGAAAUACAGCGUUUUAGUUUAGUUAUUUUAAAAAUAGGCAUGUUUGAAAAUUAAAAUUUUUUAAAAACUAGCAUCAAGAUGAAAAAUGAAUUUAUAAUAUUUAAAAAUUAGCUGAAAUUCUUUCUCCGUUCCUAAUACUAAAUAGUGUAAAUGCAUUUUCAUUAUCUUUGUUUUUCUGGACUUCUAUUUAUUUAUUUUUGUUUUAAUUUUUUCCUUUUUUUCUUUAACAAAAAAUAUCUAGUAGACAUUCAUGGUUUGUUAUUUUUCAUAAAACAAUUGUAUGAUUUUGACAUACUUUGAAUCUAGUUGAAUGCUACUCUUUAUUUUCAGGUUGGAAUUCCCAAUAGUCUAGUGAAUCUUAAUGUAUCACUCUGUGAAAAAAUAGAAGAAAUCAUAGGACAUGUUGGAGAAGAAGCGAAGGAGAAUCGUAUUGCUUUCAGCGAAUUAAAACUUUUGGAACUUGAUUAUUUACCAAGGCUUACCAGCUUUUGUUCGGAGAAUUACACUCUUGAAUUCCCAUCAUUGGAACAAGUUUCUAUGACACAUUGUCUGAACAUGAAGACUUUUUCUCAGGGAAUCUUAUCCACACCAAAGCUAUGCAAAGUGCAAGUGAGUAAAAGGAAGUAUUAAGUUUUAUAUGAAACUGUGAUGUUGUUUGGUUACUAAGAAAAUAGGAGGAAAGAAAACUUCUGUAAGCUGAGAAUUCUGUUAUUAUUGAUCUAAUGAAUCUGGAAAUUACAAGCCUUUUUAUAUGUGCAUAGAAGAUUCUACACACAUUGCACACACGCACAGGUUACUACUAACAACCUCUAUAACAACCUUUAGCUGACUCAGCUGCCAUGUCAGCAUACUCAUUAACUAACUAAUUCUAUUCUUAACAGGAAGAGGGUGAAUUGCGCCGUUGGGAAGGCAACCUUAAUUCCACUAUACAAAAGUGUUACGAAGAAAUGGUAUGUGUUAAAUCGAUUCGUCGAAAUUACUUAUGCAUCUCCCUUGCACUUGCACAUUUGAACAUAUAAGUUUAAUGUAUAUAUAUAUCUAUGCCUUUCAAAAAGAAAAAAUUGUAUAUAUCCAGUGCAAUUGUUUUGGUUUGUGCAGAUUGGAUUUCGUGACAUAAUACAUUUGCAACUCUCGCAUUUUCCACGUUUGAAAGAAAUAUGGCAUGGCCAAGCACUGCCUGUCAGCUUCUUCAACAAUUUAUUCGACCUGGUGGUGGAUGACUGCACGAAUAUGUCGAGUGCUAUUCCUGCUAAUCUGCUACGGUGCUUGAACAAUUUGGUAUACCUGGAAGUGAGGAAUUGUGAUUCACUUGAAGAGGUGCUUCAUUUGGAAGAGCUAAUUAAUGCUGACAAAGAACAUAUAGGCCCCCUGUUUCCUAAGCUUUUCAAGCUAGGGCUCACUGACCUUCCAAAACUCAAAAGAUUUUUCAACUUCACUAGGAAUAUAAUUGAACUGCCUAAGUUGAGAUAUCUAACUAUUGAGAAUUGCCCUGAUAUGGAAACAUUCAUAUCCAAUUCUACAUCUGUACUGCACAUGACAGCAGAUAAUAAGGAAGCUCAAAAAUUAAAAUCAGAAAAGAACCUCUUGGUAGCUGAUCAAAUACAACAUCUCUUCAAUGAAAAGGUAAUCAUUAUUAUUAUUUUUCCCUUCACUUUCUUUCGCACAGUUGUAAUUUCAUUAGAAUCAAAUCAAAUUUAAUGACUCAUCUUUUUACAUGUCGUCUUAAUUUAUAUCUGAUUUAACAAUAUAACCGCAAUUAUUAACUAACUUUAUAGUAUGAAUUAUAAAAGUGUCUGAAAUUAAUUGGAUGCCUGGUAACACGAGGUGAUGAACUAUAUUAAUUAUGUGUGUAACAUCUCUGUUUUCCUAGCUAAUUCAUAUUAGAUUUAGCAUCAGAUUUCAUUUAUGUGUUUCAAAGGGUAAUCGAUUUGAUACUUAUAUUUGGGAUCCUACUGCAAAGCAUACUAAUUUGGAAAAAAAAAUAUAAAAUGCUGUGAUUAAUCUUGUCCAUAAAAUAUGCAGGGGAAGACUGCAGAGAUUGGAUACAUAUUUUCAUUUACAACUUAAUUUUGUUGAUUUUUAGGUUGCAUUCCCUCAAUUGAUAGAGUUAAAGUAUCUGGAUUACACAAAGUGCAGCAUCUCUGGAAGGAAAAUGACGAAUCCAGCAAAGCGUUUGCAAACUUGGGAAGUCUAGAAAUAUCGGAAUGUAGUAAGUUGCAAAAAUUAGUACCACCUUCGUGGCAUUUGGAAAAUCUGUGGGAACUAGAAGUAUCGAAGUGUCACGGGUUGAUAAAUGUGUUGACGCUCUCAACAUCUAAAACUCUAGUGAAUCUCGAAAGAAUGAAGAUAGCUGAUUGCAAAAUGAUAGAAGAAAUCAUACAAUCGCAGGUUGGAGAAGAAGCGGAAGAUUGCAUUGUUUUCAGGAAAUUGGAGUACUUGGGACUUGAUUGUUUGCCAAGCCUAACAAGCUUUUGUUUGGGUAAUUACGCUCUUGAGUUCCCGUCCUUGGAACACGUAGUUGUGAGACAGUGCCCAACAAUGAAGAUUUUCUCUCAAGGAGUCGUAGACGCACCGAAGCUAAACAAAGUGAAACCCACCGAAGAAGAAGAUGGUGAUGACGAAGGAUGUUGGGAAGGAAACCUCAAUGACACCAUAAAAAAAUUGUUCAAUGAAAUGGUGAGUAUCAAUGAAGUGUUGGCACUAUCUAGCAAAUUAUUUCUAUAGCUAUUAACGUGGCAUAAUAUGAUUGCUUGAUUGAAAAUAUAAAAUAAUAAUAAAUAAAUUAUGAGGGUUAUGUUAUGUUUUUGUUUAAUCAAUCAUAUUACGUCAUAUUAGUUUGUACAAUAUUAUUUGUGCACAAAAGAAAUGGUAUGUGUUAAAUCGAUUCGUCGAAAUUACUUAUGCAUCUCCCUUGCACUUGCACAUUUGAACAUAUAAGUUUAAUGUAUAUAUAUAUCUAUGCCUUUCAAAAAGAAAAAAUUGUAUAUAUCCAGUGCAAUUGUUUUGGUUUGUGCAG
RNAcentral lists this long non-coding RNA (4084 nucleotides) under Citrus sinensis (sweet orange). RNAcentral describes it as "long non-coding RNA (CSIN_LNC005504)". Lineage: Eukaryota; Viridiplantae; Streptophyta; Magnoliopsida; Sapindales; Rutaceae. The record is from RNAcentral.